AACGAACGCUGGCGGCAGGCUUAACACAUGCAAGUCGAGCGCCCCGCAAGGGGAGCGGCAGACGGGUGAGUAACGCGUGGGAACGUACCUUUUGGUUCGGAACAACUCCGGGAAACUGGAGCUAAUACCGGAUAAGCCCUAACGGGGAAAGAUUUAUCGCCGAAAGAUCGGCCCGCGUCUGAUUAGCUAGUUGGUGAGGUAACGGCUCACCAAGGCGACGAUCAGUAGCUGGUCUGAGAGGAUGAUCAGCCACACUGGGACUGAGACACGGCCCAGACUCCUACGGGAGGCAGCAGUGGGGAAUAUUGGACAAUGGGCGCAAGCCUGAUCCAGCCAUGCCGCCUGAGUGAUGAAGGCCUUAGGGUUGUAAAGCUCUUUUGUCCGGGAAGAUAAUGACUGUACCGGAAGAAUAAGCCCCGGCUAACUUCGUG
RNAcentral lists this ribosomal RNA (431 nucleotides) under uncultured bacterium. RNAcentral describes it as "partial 16S ribosomal RNA". It matches the Rfam family "Bacterial small subunit ribosomal RNA", at positions 29 to 507 of the family's 1533-position model. The record is from RNAcentral.